CAAGGAGAACGGGUAAUCGCUUCGUAAUGAAGAGGAAAGUCCGAGCACCAUCGGGUUAGGAUACCGGUUAACGGCCGGGCAAGGAAACUUGACGGAAAGUGCAACAGAAAAUAAACCGCCUUUAAUUAGGUAAGGGUGAAAAGGUAAGGUAAGAGCUUAUCGCUUAAAUGGUAACAUUUAAGGCUAGGUAAACCCUAUCCGGUGCAAGGCCAAAUAGGAGAGUAGGAAAUCCGACUGAUCUCUCGGGUAGGCUGCUUGAUUUUUUCGGUAACGAAAAAACUAGAUAAAUGAUUACCGUUGGAUAUCCCAAUACAGAACUCGGCUUACAGUUCUCCUUGUAUA
This 342-nucleotide RNase P RNA is filed under the name Chloroflexota bacterium. Its description in RNAcentral is "RNase P RNA component class A". It matches the Rfam family "Bacterial RNase P class A". From Rfam's summary of the family: Ribonuclease P (RNase P) is a ubiquitous endoribonuclease, found in archaea, bacteria and eukarya as well as chloroplasts and mitochondria. Its best characterised activity is the generation of mature 5'-ends of tRNAs by cleaving the 5'-leader elements of precursor-tRNAs. Cellular RNase Ps are ribonucleoproteins. The record is from RNAcentral. Lineage: Bacteria; Bacillati; Chloroflexota.